Molecule: long non-coding RNA, 827 nt
Organism: Haplochromis burtoni (Burton's mouthbrooder)
Lineage: Eukaryota; Metazoa; Chordata; Actinopteri; Cichliformes; Cichlidae
Exons: 3
Source: RefSeq, a predicted model, not a curated record
ACUUGUUCGAGUCGAAUGAAAGUCAUCUUUGGAGCUGAAGAAGAAGAAAGAUCGUUCUGCGAACUAUAAACCAGCUGCUGAACAGUUCUUACCUGGUAGUCUUGGCGUCAAAGACAUCAGUUGUCCCUCUUCAGUUUGCUCUGUUGGGCGGAUUCUUCAGAUUUGCCCUGAUGGGACAUUUUUAUUGGAGCUUAAGCGACCAGUGGGUCAGACGUUUGGCUUCAUCAUCAGCAGAGGAAGAGGACGACGUGACACUGGUGUGUAUAUAGAAGACAUGAACAGCAGCACUGGGAAGCUGUAUGCUGGCCUGCUGGCUAUUGGAGAUGAGAUCCUGGAAGUCAACGAGGAGAAGGUGGCCUGCCUCAGUCUGGACCAGGUGACAAACCUCCUGAUCAAGAACCAGUCUGUCACCAUUCGGGUCCUUCGACACCAGAGGACACGUUCAGAGUGACAACCACACUGCCUGACUGAAGAACCAGUUGCCAACACUGAACCUGACUCACCUGUUUAUGGCAGUAACAGAGUUAAAGCAAAACUGCAGUCUAUGUCUUACACUUUCUCAUGAUGAGAAGCUUCUUGUUUCCUGUUAAAUCACUUUGACUUGCUGGUGUGAAUAUUUGUUUAAUGCCAUGCAGUAUUUGUCCUCUGAGCUGAUACUGUUUUUUUGUUUUUUCAAUUUUAUUUUAUUAUUAUAUUAAUAAUAUUAUUGAUUUUUUUUUUUCAUGAAGUAGCUUGGUUUUUUAUUUUGUCUGUGUUUGUUUUGCUAAAGAAAAAGAAAAAUAUUGUUUAAAAACAAGCUGGAACCUGCCAAAAGAAAAUUAUUCAAA